CAGAAACUCAAAUGAAGUUGACGGGGGCCGGCACAAGCGGUGGAGCAUGUGGUUUAAUUCGAUGAUACGCGAGGAACCUUACCUGGGCUCAAAUGUAUGUUGACGUAUUCUGAAAGGGAUACUUCUUCGGACAAUAUACAAGGUGCUGCAUGGUUGUCGUCAGCUCGUGUCGUGAGAUGUUGGGUUAAGUCCCGCAACGAGCGCAACCCUUGCCUUUAGUUGCCAGCAGUUCGGCUGGGCACUCUAAAGGGACUGCCGGUGUUAAACCGGAGGAAGGUGGGGAUGACGUCAAGUCCUCAUGGCCUUUAUGACCAGGGCUACACACGUACUACAAUGGCCGAUACAAAGGGCAGCGACACUGCGAGGUGAAGCCAAUCCCGUAAAAUCGGUCUCAGUCCGGAUUGGAGUCUGCAACUCGACUCCAUGAAGUUGGAAUCGCUAGUAAUCGUGGAUCAGCAUGCCACGGUGAAUACGUUCCCGGGCCUU
Molecule: ribosomal RNA, 486 nt
Filed under: uncultured Desulfobulbus sp.
Lineage: Bacteria; Pseudomonadati; Thermodesulfobacteriota; Desulfobulbia; Desulfobulbales; Desulfobulbaceae
Description: bacterial SSU rRNA
Rfam family: Bacterial small subunit ribosomal RNA
Source: RNAcentral